CCUACGGGAGGCAGCAGUGAGGAAUAUUGGUCAAUGGACGGAAGCCUGAACCAGCCAUGCCGCGUGCAGGAGGACGGCCCUAUGGGUUGUAAACUGCUUUUGUACAGGGGUAAACCUGAAUACGUGUAUUCAGCUGAAAGUACUGUACGAAUAAGGAUCGGCUAACUCCGUGCCCGCAGCCGCGGUAAUACGGAGGAUCCAAGCGUUAUCCGGAUUUAUUGGGUUUAAAGGGUGCGUAGGCGGAUUGAUAAGUUAGUGGUGAAAUGUGCGAGCUUAAAUCGGGAACUGCCUCUAAUACUGUUGAUCUAGAGAGUAGAUGCGGUAGGCGGAAUGUAUGGUGUAGCGGUGAAAUGCUUAGAGAUCAUACAGAACACCGAUUGCGAAGGCAGCUUACCAAUCUAUAACUGACGUUGAGGCACGAAAGCGUGGGGAGCGAAUAGGAUUAGAUACCCGGGUAGUC
Molecule: ribosomal RNA, 460 nt
Filed under: uncultured bacterium
Lineage: Bacteria
Description: partial 16S ribosomal RNA
Rfam family: Bacterial small subunit ribosomal RNA
Source: RNAcentral